This 194-nucleotide unclassified non-coding RNA is filed under the name uncultured Sebacina. Its description in RNAcentral is "sequence contains ITS2". The record is from RNAcentral. Lineage: Eukaryota; Fungi; Basidiomycota; Agaricomycetes; Sebacinales; Sebacinaceae.
UACUCUCACACUCUAAUUAAUUUUGGAGAAGUGGACUUGGGUGUUGCCGCUUUGCAGUGGCUCAUCUUAAAUAUGCUAGUGCAACUCGUAGUUGGAUAUAGUACAGCGUGAUAAGUAUCUUCGCUGGCACCUCUCAAGAGGGUAUCCGAUUGGGAGCUCUGUGCUUUCAAACCGUCUUCGGACACUCUCUGACA